RNAcentral lists this long non-coding RNA (5321 nucleotides) under Xyrichtys novacula (pearly razorfish). The record is from RNAcentral. Lineage: Eukaryota; Metazoa; Chordata; Actinopteri; Labriformes; Labridae.
CUCGGAUUUUAUGUUUUGUGUGUGAAUUUGGGUCCAUUGUGUAAAUUCAGUAUGUCAACAUGAUAAAAUAACUGUAAAUUGACACAGGUGAGGUUGUGCUGAAAAAAAUGAUACCAGGCAAGGCACGUGAUUGUCAAAUUUUGUGUCAAUAUGACAAAGCGUAUAGGCGUGAAUCUCAACAAUAUGUAUUUUCACCUUAGGGGACAAGAAAAAAUGGACUUUUUUCUCCUGCCAUGGGGGGGCGCUCUUUUGGGGAGUAAAAAUUCCUUCACAAAUGUGUUGAUGGCUGGACAUUGCAUCAUCCUAGAAAACUUGGAGGCCAGUGAGGACAAAAAUAAAAAGUUAUAAGACUUUUAAAUAUGUGGAUUUUAGGGUUAUCUUUGGCGCCCCCUAGAACCUAAACCGUGGGGUGCAGCGUCAUGAUUUUGAUAACUUUUAAUGGCCAUGGGCUGUAGAUUGGCCUGAGCAAAUGUGGUGCCGGUGGAACGAAAGCCUUAGGAGGAGUUAGCCACAUUCCAAUGUGUGCGGAUCGGCAAAAAAUGCGGAAUAACCCUUUAACCGUACAUUUGACAGAUACGCGCGCAUUGACUUUUUCGUAGAUCUUAUUGAGUUACAUGUGUGUGUCAAUUUUUGUGUCAUUUUGACAAAGCGUAUAGGCGUGACACUCAACAAUGUGUAUUUUCACCUUAGGGGACAAGAAAAAAUGGACUUUUUUCUCCUGCCAUGGGGGGGCGCUCUUUUGGGGAGUAAAAAUUCCUUCACAAAUGUGUUGAUGGCUGGACAUUGCAUCAUCCUAGAAAACUUGGAGGCCAGUGAGGACAAAAAUAAAAAGUUAUAAGACUUUUAAAUAUGUGGAUUUUAGUGUUAUCUUUGGCGCCCCCUAGAACCUAAACCUUGGGGUGCAGCGUCAUGAUUUUGAUAACUUUUAAUGGCCACGGGGUGUAGAUUGGCCUGAGCAAAUGUGGUGCCAGUGGAACGAAAGCCUUCGGAGGAGUUAGCGAAAUUCCAAUGUGUGCAGAUCGGCAAAAAAUGCGAAAUAACCCUUUAACCGUAAUUUUGACAGAUACGGCCGCACUGACUUUUUUGUAGAUCUUAUUGAGAUACAUGUGUGUGUCCAUUUUUGUGUCAUUUUGACAAAGCGUACAGUCGUGACAGUGAAUUGUGUGAAUUUUCACCUUAGGGGGCGCUAUGGAGCCAUUUUGCAUUUUAUUGUUUUGGCGACUUCAGAAUAUCAAAUUUUUCACCAGGCCCGGUCGUCCUGCCAAAUUUCAUGAGUUUUCGCCAGUGGGAAGUGGGCCAUUUUCCAGUUCAAAGGGGAGGAAAAAGAAACUAGGGCCCCGUUGGGGCACUGGCGGGCCCGAGCCGCGUUGCGCCGCCCCCAGUGCGACCGCCUCCCCCUCCCGAUCGCGUCACACUCAAGGUCCAAAGAUGGUGUGCGCACUUGUCUGUGGUCAUUUCCCAUUAUAAUGAAUGGGAGGCGCAGUUUCUACCAAAACACUCGCUGCAGACAAACUACAUGUCCUAUUUGAAAAAAGUCUGGACCAUGAGUGAGGGCACAAACACAGCUAGGAUAUAUCCAAACGGCAAGUUGCUCCUCGUUACGGUGUUGCCGGGAGAGCGAUGCGAUUGAGCCAUUGAGUGAUGGGCAGGAAAAACUUGACUGUUUCUCCUGCCAUGGGGGAUGGGGGAUGGGAGGGGGGGGGGAAGGGAUGUGGAUUCUUUUAAGAAUGUGGAUAUUUGGGUCAUCUUUGGCGCCCCCUAGAACGUAAACCGUGGGGUGCAGCGGCAUGAUUUUUAAAACUUUGAAUGGCCAUGGGGUGUAGAUUGGCCUGAGCAAAUUUGGUGUCAGUGGGACGAAAGCCUUAGGAGGAGUUAGCCACAUUCCAAUGUGUGCUAAUCGGCAAAAAAUGCAAAAUAGCCCUUUAACCGUACAUUUUACAGAUACGCGCUCUUUGACUUUUUCGUACAUCUUAUUGAGAUACAUGUGUGUGUCAAAUUUUGUGUCAAUAUGACAAAGCAUACAGGUAUGACAGUCAACAAUGUGUAUUUUCACCUUAUGGGACAAGAAAAAAUGGACUUUUUUCUCCUGCCAUGGGGGGGCGCUCUUUUAGGGAGUAAAAAUUCCUUCACAAAUGUGUUGAUGGCUGGACAUUGCAUCAUCCUAGAAAACUUGGAGGCCAGAGAGGACAAAAAUAAAAAGUUAUAAGACUUUUAAAUAUGUGGAUUUUAGGGUUAUCUUUGGCGCCCCCUAGAACCUAAACUGUGGGGUGCAGCGUCAUGAUUUGAAUAACUUUUAAUGGCCAUGGGGUGUAGAUUGGCCUGAGCAAAUGUGGUGCCGGUUGAACGAAAGCCUUCGGAGGAGUUAGCGAAAUUCCAAUGUGUGCGGAUCGGCAAAAAAUGCGCAAUAACCCUUUAACCGUACAUUUGACAGAUACGCCCGCACUGACUUUUUUGUAGAUCUUAUUGAGAUACAUGUGUGUGUCAAUUUUUGUGUAAUUUUGACAAAGCGUACAGGCGUGACAGUCAAUAGUGUGAAUUUUCACCUUAUGGAACAAGAAAAAAUGGACUUUUUUCUCCUGCCAUGGGGGGGCGCUCUUUUGGGGAGUAAAAAUUCCUUCACAAAUGUGUUGAUGGCUGGACAUUGCAUCAUCCUAGAAAACUUGGAGGCCAGUGAGGGCAAAAAUAAAAAGUUAUAAGACUUUGAAAUAUGUGGAUUUUAGGGUUAUCUUUGGCGCCCCCUAGAACAUAAACCGUGGGGUGCAGCGUCAUGAUUUGAAUAACUUUUAAUGGCCAUGGGGUGUAGAUUGGCCUGAGCAAAUGUGGUGCCGGUGGAACGAAAGCCUUCGGAGGAGUUAGCGAAAUUCCAAUGUGUGCGGAUCGGCAAAAAAUGCGAAAUAACCCUUUAACCGUACAUUUGACAGAUACGCCCGCACUGACUUUUUUGUAGAUCUUAUUGAGAUACAUGUGUGUGUCAAUUUUUGUGUCAUUUUGACAAAGCGUACAGGCGUCAGGUGAAUUUUUCACCUUAGGGGGCGCUAUGGAGCCAUUUUGCAUUGUAUUGUUUGGGCGACUUCAGAAUAUCAAAUUUUUCACCAGGCCCGGUCGUCCUGCCAAAUUUCAUGAGUUUUCGCCAGUGGGAAGUGGGCCAUUUUCCAGUUCAAAGGGGAGGAAAAAUAAUAACUAGGACCCCGUUGGGGCACUGGCGGGCCCGAGCUGUGUCGCGCCCCCCCCCCAACGCGCUGCCUCCCCGUCCCAUUUGUGUCCUCUGGCCAUCGCCCUCUCUGGUAACGCCCAUCACUGCAAAGACCCUUUUCCUUCAUCGGCGUUUGCUGUUCUUCCUGCCAGUGCGUGUUGCUUUCACUUACACUUGCCACAGCCAGCCUCGUGAGUGCCUAGCCUAUUGGAUAUUACUGUCACCUACACAGGACAGUCAUUACCUUUCUAUUAAUACUUUGUUUUUUAAUUUCACAUUAAUUUCCAUAUUGUAUAAACGACUGGAAAAAACUUGAGCCCCUGCCCCUGUAUAAUCAUGUGCACGUCUCUGUUCUAGCUCUAAGGUGAAUCUUCACUGCUCAUGUUCUCCUCAGAAGCAGUCACCUCACUCCCCUCAGGUUACUGUACACAUGCACCAACUGCCUGCUUCAGGUUUGGAUGGAGCUUCAUGGUUGUCUUUUGGAGAAAUGACCAGUCAAGUUGUGUUUGAAAUUUGAUUUUUUUCAGGGGCAAAAGGAGCCUCUGCAUUCUUGUCAAAUAUGUAAAUAGCAUGUUUUUGCAGGUGCUAAAAACCAGACUCUGAGUGUGUGUGUGUGCGUGUGUGUGUGUGUCUGUGUGUGUGUGUGUGUGUGUGUGUGUGUGCGUUCAAGUCACAUGACAUAUUUAACCGGAUGUAGCUGCAAGACGGAGCCUCGUUGACUCUCCGUUUCAAUUUAUCUCAAAAGUGAGGACCUCAACCUAUAUACCAGUUUUUAAAUUGUGUUGAUAGGCCAAAUAAAACCAGAGUUAUGAUAAAUUAUGUCCGCGAUACUUGUUUUCUGCUUAUUUUGAUCACAUUCGGCGCUCGAUCGCGCUGUAUGAGACAGGAAAACAUAGCAUGCAGACAUUAGCGACAGGUCUUACAGGCGGAAAAGGCUUGCCAAAAGAAAAAAAAAACACACCACAACAUCUCUCCUAUUGGUGGAAAACUUCACCACAACAACCAAUCCAAAAUUAUAUGGUGAUUGAUUGACAAGGGGCGGGAACUUACGUUCUUCCUGCAAUAUGAGAAGGGAGGGAGGGACUCUCAGCAGGGAUGCAGUCUGGGACACGUAGUUGCAAACCUAGCGACUUUGUUGUUAGAUUCAAUGACUUUUCAGACCCCCUAACGACUUUUUUUUAGAAAGAAAGGGACUUUUAUCGACUUCUUCUGGAGUUUAGAGACUCUGACAUGAAGCAGGCUUUCCUUACUGAGGAGUUAGCAACGCUGCUAAGGGUGCAGAGCCACACAUGCGCUCCGAGCUCUGCAUGGGAGACUGAAGCUGACAGAGCUGCAGCAGUUAGCAGGUUUCACCCUCAGAGACCACCAGGGGUUCAUGUUGAGGCAUUUUUAGUUUUUUUUUUUUUUUUUUUUGCCAUAGACACUGUCAGCACAAUCUGCAGUUACACUAACAAAAAUGCUGCAAAAAACAAAGAAUUAUGGAAAAAUUACACAUGGACUAACAUAGAGGAGGAUCUACACAAGUUUUUUACAUCAUGUUUUACAUCAUGCAUCAUUUACAUCAUGUUUUUUUGUAGUGGCAUAAAUAAAAAGUGACAUUUGUGAGACUAUACAGUGUUUUGUAAAUAAUUUUACAAAGAACACCUGGGCCAUUGCCUGCAUUUUGAUGUCAAUAGAGGAAAAUUACUAUGUUCUUUGUUAAAAAUUUGCAUAUGUUUUGAAGUUUACAAUUUUUAUUUGAAGUUUAAGUUUUAAAAACAGUUCAUCACACAUAUUUGUGGUUUUCACAGUAAAAACGUUACUUUUUUCCACUCGGAUUUUAUGUUUUGUGUGUGAAUUUGGGUCCAAUGUGUAAAUAUAGUAUGUCAAAAUGAUAAAAUAACUGUAAAUUGACACAGGUGAGGUUGUGCUGAAAAAAAUGAUACCAGGCAAGGCAAGGUAAAAAUUUUGUAAGAGGAAAUAUAAAGGUAAAAUCUAAAGUAGUCAAAAACGGCCAAUAGUGACUCACAGACUCCACAGACAAGUCCCUUUGCCGCCACUCAGUGGGCAAAACUACUUUGUCUACUGUAAUGUAUAUUUGGGUCAUCUUUGGCGCCCCCUAAAACGUAAACCGUGGGGUGCAGCGUCA